GGAAGAAAGGGAGGCUCUUCGGAGCUUUCGCUGAAGGAGGGGCUUGCGUCUGAUUAGCUUGUUGGCGGGGUAACGGCCCACCAAGGCGACGAUCAGUAGGGGUUCUGAGAGGAAGGUCCCCCACAUUGGAACUGAGACACGGUCCAAACUCCUACGGGAGGCAGCAGUGAGGAAUAUUGGUCAAUGGGCGCAAGCCUGAACCAGCCAAGUAGCGUGAGGGAAGACUGCCCUACGGGUUGUAAACCUCUUUUGUUUGGGAAUAAAGUGCGGGACGUGUCCCGCAUUGCAUGUACCAUUUGAAUAAGGACCGGCUAAUUCCGUG
This 322-nucleotide ribosomal RNA is filed under the name uncultured bacterium. Its description in RNAcentral is "bacterial SSU rRNA". It matches the Rfam family "Bacterial small subunit ribosomal RNA", at positions 198 to 507 of the family's 1533-position model. The record is from RNAcentral.